This is a long non-coding RNA of Salvia miltiorrhiza (redroot sage), 1583 nucleotides long. RefSeq lists it as uncharacterized. Lineage: Eukaryota; Viridiplantae; Streptophyta; Magnoliopsida; Lamiales; Lamiaceae. The transcript is spliced from 2 exons. The record is from RefSeq and is a predicted model, not a curated record.
AGCUCUGUUACUGUAUUGUACACUUAAGCUGAGGUUGCUGCUACUCUUUUAUUUCCAUUUAAGCUGAGGUUGCUGCUACUCUCUUAAAUUGCUCCCAGCUUGUGUUGAAAAUAUUUGUUUCUUCAAAUUUCAUUGUUAUUAUUGUUUCUUUGAAUAUGUUGAUAGUUGACAGUUGACAGUUUCACUCCGUCUCUUUGGAUUAAUAUGUUUAUGUUCAUGUUUAAUAGGUGGGAGAUGUUGUACUUGUUGAGGAUGAGAUUGUGAUGGAAGAUGAUAUUAAGUUGAUUGGACUGCAGGCAUUGGUAUGUGCUGUUGCUUAUGGUCCGCGGUGGAUUCAUAUUUAUGAAUCUGAGACAAUUUUCAUUCGCUCACAACUGAGAGAAGUUCCUCUAGAGAAUGUGUUGCUAAUAUGUGUUCUUUGAAUCAAUUCUGCUGAAUUCAUUUGCAACUGUGAGUUUUUAUAGACAAAAACACAAUCUUUAUUUGUUGUUUGGAUGCCCCUUAGCUGUCUUGUAUUUUCUAUGAUCCCCUACUGCAUUUUCACUAGUUUUUAUGUAGUUUAGGUUUGCAGUUUCAAGUUUUAACUUGCUAUCUGUUAACUUUAGUAAUAAAUUAUCUCUGCUAGGUAGGAUACACUGUUACAACUCGAAGACGUCAAACUAUUGGCAAGGUGCACUAUGUUGUUCUUUAUAGUCUUGCCAAGAUUAAUGUUGGAUAUCUUUGACAUUUCCAUAGUUGUUUCGCUUUUAGGUGCGUGGCUACACCUUUAGUAUCAGUUCAGGCACGUUGGAAUCACUUGAGCUCGACUCAUUUGGAAUUUCCAUUAUCCCCUCGAGUUUGGUAGGUUUAUUUUUGUAGGUUUAGAUGUAUGACUUUAGUUGCUUAUAUGUCUCAUUCCACGAAUCAUGUGUUGAUGGUUAAAGUUCCAUGUUCAUUUAGCAAACAAAGCAGGUUGUUGGAUUAAACCCUGUUAAAGAAACCUUUGCCUUUUCAAUCACAUGAUCUUCUAGGCAAAAAGAGGCAACAAUUUUUAUGUUGGAUGCUGAUUCAGAAGCAAGGGAAACCAGUUCUGAAUAAGCAGCAUUAAAAGUCCUUUUGCAGACUUGGCUUGCAAUAUAGCCCACCGAUAAAGUGGCAGGGCAUCACCUUGGCUUGCAAUUAAUGUUGUUCAUCUUAAUCAAUUAUGUAAAUUUUUGGUGCAGAACUAUUGGGAAAGAUUUUUGUCCAAUCGGGAUUCUUGGACAUUUGCAGGCUCUGCUAGCUGCUCUUGCUAUUAUGUCGGAUCUUAUGUUCGACUUCUUGGGAAGGUGCAGUAACGAAGCCCUCAAGGAAGAGAUGAAAGAGAAAAGAAGGGCUCAGAUUACUUUCAUGAGGAAGAAGGAUUUCAGGAAAGAGCAACUAGUUCUUGAGGAGUUAGUGCUAGAAUACAUAGUAUGAUAGAUUUUCGUUUUAGCUAUAAGAUAGUUGGUACUUUUAAUUUUGAAUCGAAUAUGCAAUAAUGAUGUAUACUUGAUACUUGGUUCAUUUGGAUGGUAAUGUAUGAAUAUUUUGGAUGAUAUAUAAAAUUGUUAUUGUUGAUUUUA